GAUGAACGCUGGCGGCGUGCCUAAUACAUGCAAGUUGAGCGAACGGACGAGAAGCUUGCUUCUCUGAUGUUAGCGGCGGACGGGUGAGUAACACGUGGAUAACCUACCUAUAAGACUGGGAUAACUUCGGGAAACCGGCGCUAAUACCGGAUAAUAUUUUGAACCGCAUGGUUCAAUAGUGAAAGACGGUCUUGCUGUCACUUAUAGAUGGAUCCGCGCUGCAUUAGCUAGUUGGUAAGGUAACGGCUUACCAAGGCAACGAGGCAUAGCCGACCUGAGAGAGUGAUAGGCGACACUGGAACUGAGACACGGUCAAGACUCCUAAGGGAGGCAGCAGUAGGGAAUCUUCCGCAAUGGGCGAAAGCCUGACGGAGCAACGCCGAGUGAGUGAUGAAGGUCUUCGGAUCGUAAAACUCUGUUAUUAGGGAAGAACAGAUGUGUAAGUAACUGUGCACAUCGUGACGGUACCUAAUCAGAAAGCCACGGCUAACUACGUG
This 497-nucleotide ribosomal RNA is filed under the name uncultured bacterium. RNAcentral's name for it is "partial 16S ribosomal RNA". It matches the Rfam family "Bacterial small subunit ribosomal RNA", at positions 28 to 507 of the family's 1533-position model. The record is from RNAcentral.